Molecule: non-coding RNA, 96 nt
Organism: Mycena alexandri
Lineage: Eukaryota; Fungi; Basidiomycota; Agaricomycetes; Agaricales; Mycenaceae
Source: the annotation of a GenBank genome assembly
GACCUGGUGGUGAAAUGUCAUCACACCCGCUGUCUGUUCGUAGUUACCAUGAGAGAUGUAAGGCGGGAAUUCCCGGUUCGAUUCCGGGCCAGGCCA